UACGUAGGGUGCAAGCGUUGUCCGGAAUUAUUGGGCGUAAAGAGCUCGUAGGCGGUCUGUCGCGUCGGCUGUGAAAACCCGAGGCUCAACCUCGGGCCUGCAGUCGAUACGGGCAAACUAGAGUACUGCAGGGGAGACUGGAAUUCCUGGUGUAGCGGUGAAAUGCGCAGAUAUCAGGAGGAACACCGGUGGCGAAGGCGGUUCUCUGGGCCUUACCUGACGCUGAGGAGCGAAAGCGUGGGGAGCAAACAGG
RNAcentral lists this ribosomal RNA (253 nucleotides) under uncultured bacterium. RNAcentral's name for it is "partial 16S ribosomal RNA". It matches the Rfam family "Bacterial small subunit ribosomal RNA", at positions 524 to 776 of the family's 1533-position model. The record is from RNAcentral.